Molecule: non-coding RNA, 809 nt
Filed under: Dicranomyia modesta
Lineage: Eukaryota; Metazoa; Arthropoda; Insecta; Diptera; Limoniidae
Source: RNAcentral
AAAAUGUUUUAUUUUAGCAUAAAAAUUUAUUUAUAAUUUGUUUUACAUGUAAAUUUUUGUAUGAAUAUAUAUUUAUUAUCUAAAAGAUAAUUAAUAAUUUUAUUAAUCUCAGUAAUUAAUUUUAAUAAUUAAAGAAAUUUAUAAUUAGAAAUAUUAUUUAGUAUUAGCUAAAUUUGUGCCAGCAGCUGCGGUUAUACAGAAGAUGCAAAUAAAUUUUAUUAGUUUUUAGUAAAAUUGUGUUAUAUAUAUAUAUAUAUAUAUAUUAUAUUAAUUAUAAAUUUAUUAAGUGAAAUUUUAAAUUUAUUUUUUGGUAUAAGAUUAAUUAAUUGAAACUAUGAAAUUUUAUAAAUAAACUAGGAUUAGAUACCCUAUUAUUUAAAAUGUAAAAUUAAAAAACUAGAAUAGUAUUAGUUAUGUUCUUGAAACUUAAAAAAUUUGGCGGUAUUUUAGUCUAUUCAGAGGAACCUGUUAUGUAAUUGAUAAUCCACGUUGAACCUAACUUAAUUUAAUUUAAUUUGUAUAUCGCCGUCAUCAGAAUGUCUUAAAAAAGAAAAAAUUUUCUAAAAUUUUAAAUAAAAAUUAUGUCAGGUCAAGAUGCAGUUUAUAAUUAAGUAUAAAUGGGUUACAAUAAAUAUAUUUAUGGAUAUUAAAAUGAAAUAUUUAAUUGAAAUUGGAUUUGAAAGUAAAAUAAUAAAGAUAAAUUAUUUGAUUAUAGCUCUAAAAUAUGCACAUAUCGCCCGUCGCUCUCAUUAUUAAAAUUAGAUAAGUCGUAACAUAGUAGGCGUACCGGAAGGUGUGCCUAGAAUAAU